GGAUGAAGAACGUAGCGAAAUGCGAUAAGUAAUGUGAAUUGCAGAAUUCAGUGAAUCAUCGAAUCUUUGAACGCACAUUGCGCCCCCCAGUAUUCUGGCGGGCAUGCCUGUUCGAGCGUCAUUUCAACCAUCAAGCCCUGCUUGUGUUGGGGUCCUGCGGCUGCCCGCAGGCCCUGAAAACCAGUGGCGGGCUCGCUAGUCACACCGAGCGCAGUAGCACAUCUCGCUCAGGGCGUGCGGCGGGCUCCAGCCGUUAAAGCACCCACCUUUCGCAAGGUUGACCUCGGAUCAGGUAGGAAUACCCGCUGAACUUAAGCAUAUCAAUAAGCGGAGGA
Molecule: unclassified non-coding RNA, 335 nt
Filed under: soil metagenome
Description: partial contains 5.8S ribosomal RNA, internal transcribed spacer 2, and large subunit ribosomal RNA
Rfam family: 5.8S ribosomal RNA (bases 2-121)
Source: RNAcentral